Long non-coding RNA from Oreochromis aureus, 5830 nucleotides. RefSeq lists it as uncharacterized. Lineage: Eukaryota; Metazoa; Chordata; Actinopteri; Cichliformes; Cichlidae. The record is from RefSeq and is a predicted model, not a curated record. The transcript has 4 exons.
CUUUAUUACUCUUUUGAUCUACAGUUGUUUGCAAUUGUGAAGUUUGAUGUAGCUUACAGAUUUGUCUUCUAGGAUACAGGCUCCAAGCGGAGCUGGAAGGUGAACAACUUUAACGUGAAAAUCACUGGCUAAUGUUUUUCUUAUGACAGGGUUACAGACUUGGAGUACAGCUGCUCCGAGGGACAAGCCCUGGGAAUCUUCAAGAGAGAAUGUGCAACUUUCUUGUGUAUGUCUAAUUGUGUGAAGCUGACACAUGGACCUGAUAACAGCAUCCCAAGGUAUGGUGUAUAAGCUGAUUGGUGAGACGUGUUGCACAUUUAUCCCAGACGGAUAUUCCACAGGCGGCGACAUCUAUAAGGCCCUGCAGAAUCUAACAGCACUCCAGAAGUAUGUGACCAAUCACACGCCAGGAGCCUCAACACAGAAUUGGCUCACAUGGCUGACUUCUGGACCCUGGUGGCAUAUGCUACUGAAGAUCUUGACCCCAGUAUUUGUUUUUUUACUCUCUAUGUUUGUUGUGGUGACCUGUAUUCUCCCUUGCAUUAAGAGCAUGAUACAAAGGAUGGUGACUAAUACCUUUAUCUACUACGCAUUAGCCCAGGAAGACCCAGAGAAGGGCAUGAAAGAUUGUGUUCAAAUGAAGUAAGCAUUGAAAAUGCACCUGCAAGUGAUGCUGUACUGAUAGUUGACAACACAAGCUUUUAAAAUGUCAAACAGGAGGGAAUAAUGUUAGGUUUAAUGUAUGUGUUGUAGGUUGCCAUUUAAAAAGCUAGAAUGCUUCUGUUUGCGCUCUAUGUAACCCACACAUAUGAGUACGUGCACGACCUCGAUAAGGGGAACAGCCUUGAGAAAGAACAGAUUCUACCGACAAUAUCCUGGGAGAGCUGCACUCCCAUCAUAAAACCACACACAUUGUAUAACCAUGCUUGCUCAGCACAAUCACACUUUGUAACCAGUUAUAGUAAUUUCUCAUAGGUAAUACAACAACAAGCUUUAUGAAUAUUCAUGUGUGUAACCAAUAAAAACAACCUGCAGGGGGAAAGCAAGUUGAAGUGGGUUGGAGACAACUGCUUCCCUCUCGCAAGUGAAAACUUGAGCUCUGUGUGACCCCGUUCCUGAGUGAGUUUCUGUUUAUCCAGCAGUAUCAGGGGUAAAACUCUGACAAGUAGUGUGUCACACAAACAGCAAAUAUUGUCAAAAAAAGUAAGAAAACAUGGGGGUGCUUUGAUUCAUUUUGGGGCUGCUUCAGCACCCCGGAAAAUGGGCUAAAAAACACAAAAAGUAAUCACUGAAAAGUCCACAAUACCUGAAGUUUUUAAUAGUUUCUGCAGCUGAAAGUAGCCGUUUAAACAGUUUAAAUCUUAAUGUUAGUGUUGGAGCUAUUUGUUCUUGAUUUUUAUUAUUUUGAAAUUUGUUAAAGUUUGUUGUUGGUUUCCCAAACUGGAUAAAUAAACCAUAAAACGCGACUUUCAAGUUUGGACAGUCGACUUCUUUUGCCUGCGUACAAGAUCUUAUCUCAGUGCAGCAGUGCCUUGUGGAUUUUUAAUUGUUGGACCUUUGGUUGGUCAAACUAACGGAAUCACCACUACAUAAAGUAAAAACUCUUGCCCGUGGACCAGAAGGAAUAAUCCUUCAUUAAUGGAUAUGUUGGAUAUAUAGAUUUCAUGGAUCACCAUCGAACAAAAGUUAUUAGAUCGUCUUUGGAGUAAUCCAGAAGGAGUUGCUGCUUGAGGCUUGGAUCAACACGUCACUCAUUGAUCAAAACUGGUGAGUGAUAAUAUUGUUUAGGCCGUAAAGGAAAACGGUGAAGCUAUUGGAGUUUAAAGACAUUAUUUCAGUACAAGGACUGAUGAACUGAGUUUUGAUGUGCUAAACUGGUGCGUAAUUGGAUCGCUAAUUGAAACAUGCCCACGCCUGUCGUGGAAAUGUUUGUUCACUGGAAUCAGCAGGUAAAUAGAUGACAUGUUUGUGCUUUAUGCUGUGGAUUGGCAGUGUGCUGUGCAUCUUUGGAAUGUUUGAUAUAAUUCAAAAGAACGAUAAAAAAAAUGUCGGAUAAGCGUAAACAAAAGGAUGACACUCCGAUGCAAUUGGAGAAAAGAAGCAUCAAGUUCACACCAAAAGGUUUAGAUAUGUAUAUAAAACAUGUCCAGAAAAGCGGAGUUCAAAAUGUAAGCAAGCCUCUAAGUCAGUGGGAAAAAAAUCUCCUCCUUGGAUGAAAUAAAUCCUGAAGACAGUAUCUCUAAUAUCUCAGGCGUAAAGCUGCGUUCAAAAACAUUUUCAAAGCAAAGCCGAAUUUCAUCAACAUCUUCUUCGCGCAUUAAAGCUGCGGCUGACAAGGCAGCGCUCAUGGAGCGACUCGCUGCAUUAAAGAAAAAAAUUUUUUUUAUUGAAGCGCAAGAGGAAAAACUGAGAAAAGGAGAAAUUAUCCUUGGAAACGGAGUUGGCAGCAACAAAUGCAAAGCUUUGUGUCUUAAAAUAAAAACUCGGUUCGGCCCCCGGUGAACGUUCUGAUGGAAUGAACUCUUAUUUUGAAAGAGGGCACGUACAAGAAGGGUCUAGGUUAAACCCUUGUGCUGACACAUUUGUUCCAAUAGAAAGAGAUUACUCUGGUAUAAAUGCUGCAUCUGAAUCACAGGUCUUCAUACCUAAACAAAGUCAAAAACAACAUCAGGUGGAUGAGAUGAUGGUAAAAGUUGAUGCUUCAGCUCAGGUGACGCAGCAAACACAGCCUCAAUCUACUGAGAACCAUACUAAUGAGAUUGUUAUUAUUAUGUAAAAACACAAUGACAUCACUACUUUACUUGUAAAACAAAACUUAUCUUCUGUGCUCCCAGCCAGAAACAUCCCUGUGUUUGAUGGAGACCCUUUACAGUAUAGAUCAUUUAUAAAUGCCUUUGAAAAUGGAGUGGAAGCUAAAAGUUAUAGCGACUGUUUGCAUUUUUUUUAGAGCAGUUCACUGGGGGGCAGCCUAAAGACUUGGUGCAUAGUUGUCAGCAUUUACCUCCUGAGGAGGGCUAUUCCAGAGCCAAACAUCUUCUUGAAGAACAUUUUGGGAAUGAAAAUUAAAUUGCCUCUGCAGAUUUGGAGAAGAUUAUGAGUCGGGCACCUAUUAAAAGUGAAGAUGUGAAAGGUCUUCAGUCAUUCUCUCUUUUUUGUCAAGGAUUUUGAAAUCUAACACAGUAAAUUGUUUAUAUGAAGGAGUUGGAUUUGCCCUCAAACAUGAGAAUGAUUGUUAUGAAACUUCCUUACAAAUUGAGGGAAAAAUGGAGACGAGCUAAAAUGCAUUGGGAUAAGUUGACUUUUAUCAAGGAGAGGUUGUUUCCUUGUGUUUUGGUUCUUUUAAAGUUGGUCACACAGGCAAAGACUGUAGGAGUCGUUUGGAUUGUGACGUGUGUCACCAAAAGCACCCAGGGGUCCUUCAUAUAGAGCAAAAAGAUCCAGGUGCAUCCUCAGAACAAACUCAACAGAUGACAAACUCUGAUGUCAACUUCUCAACUGCAACCACUCAGACAUGUGGGUAUAUUUGGCCCGGUUAAGAGGUUGAUGCAGUUUUUCUAUUGUUGCAGUUCAAGUUAAGAGCCAAAAGAGCAGUAGAAUUGUGCAAACAUAUGCAUUUCUGGAUCCUGGACAUUCAGGUACAUUCUGUACAGAAACCGUGGCAAAAAGACUGAAUCUAAAUGGUAAAAAGACCAAUAUCCUUCUGAGAACAAUGAGUCGAAGUAGGAUUGUUAGUGCACUGUCUGUCUGGUUUGGAAGCAAAGAAUUUCAUGGCGUUGCCAGAUGUUUUGACUCAAAAGACCAUGCCAGUUUCUGCGGUGAAUAUUCCCAUGCAAGGGGAUAUUGAUCAGUGGCCUCACCUGUUAAACUUCACAACAUUGAUGCAGAUGCGGAGCUACUGAUAGGCACUGAUGCCUCCAACGCUUUAGAGUCAUGGAAGGUGAUACAGUGUGGAAGGUGGACCUUAUGCUGUAAAAACCAAAGUUGGCAAAGUUGUUGUGGAUGUGUUACCCCUCAGAGCUGCCCAAGCAUAUGCUGCUCCUAGAUGUAAAGACCAUAUGGAACUCUCUGUAUUUGAUGAAGGAGAGAUUCUGCAAGCAGUUUCCUGCCAUCCAGGCUGCAGCCAUCGAUCCACGGAUAAGAAAGUCCAUGUAAAAAGAAAGACUGGCUAAAAUGGGCAAUGAUGACUUAAGAAAAGCAGAGGAGUUUGUGGUGCUCAUGCGGAAGCACUACACCUCCACACUAGCAGCGACAAAAGUCCGACCUGUGGUGAGAUUCUGCCCAUCCUGCAAAAGCUACUGCAACACUACACCGUGCAAGAAGAUGACUGUCUUCACAAGGAGCAGAACAUUUGGAAAGAUCUUUCCAAACGAUACCAGGAUGCUGAUAUCCAGAGAUUCCAGGAGGAGGCCACCAUCUUGGACCCCUGAUUUAAAUCCAAAGUGAAUAAGGAUGAAGUCUGGGACAGGAUCAGGGAAGCAGCAGGGAAGCAGCAAACACAGAGGCAGGACCAGAUGAGCACCUGGAGCAAGGAGACACACAGGGAGAGUUGUUCGAAGAUGAAGAUGAGGAUGAAAAAGACUAUGCAAGUUUAGUUCAUCGUGAAGUUAAUUUAGAUGUCAUGGAUUGUUCAUUUUCUGCUUAACAUUUUUAUUAUGUCUAUUUAAUUUCAGUAAAGCAGAAAAAAAAACUGCCUUGGAGGAACUCUUUGAAGAGGAGGACAACAGGCUGCAGUCAUUCCAACAACGGCAGCCCGUUCUUUCCCUGGCCCAGAGAGUGGAUCAGGAGAUCCAGCUGUAUAGAAACCUAACCCCCAUCCCCUGCAAGGAUAACGCCACCCUAUGGUGGUGGAGCAAGAGAGAGACUCUGCCCCCGCUGUCAGCACUGGCUGAAAGCUUUCUGUGUGUGCAGGCAUCCUCCACCCCGUCUGAGAGGUGGUUUUCCACAGCUGGAGAGACCAUAAGUCCAGAAAGAUCACGUAUCCUUCCUGAAAAAGCAGAUAUGCUUAUAUUUCUGCAAAAGAAUUUGUAAUUCUCCAUAGUUGAUGGAUGCAGAAUUGCACAGUGUCAUUGGACUUGAGUUGAUUGUAUUUUUUGCUGGCUGAUGUAGUUUUAUUUUUGAGUGCUCAGCUCAUAUAUACGUUUAAAAAGGAGAGUGUAAAUGUUACUGGGCAUUCUUGUGUAACUGCCACAGAAUAAUUUAUGUUAUACUUUGUUAUUGCUACAGAAGAAUAUUUAUUUUAUUAUUAUUUUACAUUUACAUUUUUUUUUCUGGGGACCUGUGGCACCCCAUCGAGGAGCCGUAGGCUGUGGAUCUCUUAAGAUCUCACUGUUGGAUUUGUAAGGUCAUGCUAGUCUUAAAUUUUGUUCAAAGAUAAGAUAAAAAAAAAGUUCUAAGCUAAUCGACCUGUAUGUUCUCCUUUUUAAAAAAUAAGAAUCGAUGGGAGAAUCAAUAAAGAAUCGAUAAAGAUUCGAAUUGUUAAACAGAAACUAAAAUGGAAACAGAAUCGUAGAGGCAUGAGAGCUGGGGAUUUCCUCAAAUGUAGGAGGUGGAUAAAUGGGCAAGACUUUCUCUACAAGUCAGAGGAGGAGUGGCCUAAACUGGAUGUGGAUUGCAGUGUAAUUUCUGCAGAUGACCCAGAGGUCAAAAAGGACCUGACAGUGAAUGUCAUUGUGAAGGAAUCACAAAAUCCUACAAACUAAACACUUCUUGUCUUGGGCAAAACUCAAAGUCUCUGUAGCCUGGUUUUUAAAGCUGAAAGAGACCUUAGUGUUGCUCGGGCAGAAAGAGGAAAGAGUUGGUUGCUGCAGAUCUGAAUAAGAAUGAUCGGGAA